Long non-coding RNA from Oreochromis niloticus (Nile tilapia), 1679 nucleotides. The record is from Ensembl. Lineage: Eukaryota; Metazoa; Chordata; Actinopteri; Cichliformes; Cichlidae.
ACUGUCCAAGCCUUCUGUGUGAGGAACUGGAGGAUUUGUCAAAAAACAGCAACCGAGGGAACAUGAGCAGGAGGAGGAGGAGGGAAACGGAGGAGGAAGUGUUUAGUCAGUGGGAGGAUGAAGAGGCAGCAGAGGAGACAUGGCGAGAAGAGAAGGACGGGGAGGGGGGGAAAGAAGAGAAAGUUGUGACAGAGGGAGAAGAGGAGGAGCAGGUGAAGCCUGAGAGUAGGCUGAAAGUGGUACAGGAGGUGCAGAUGGAAGACGACAAGAUUGAGAAGGCCAAGGAAACAAUUGCUGAUGAACAAGAGAGUAAAGUGACAAAGCGCUUAGCACAAAAAGAUGAGCAGAAGAAGAGUAAGAACAAGCGAGGUAGGAAGCAAAGUGAGCAGGUGAGAAGUAAGGGAGGAGUAAAGGAUGUUGGUGAGAGGUCUGAGGAGGAGAAGACAAGUGAGACACAGGAGGUGCCAGCGAUGAGCUCAGAGGAGACCUCGGCUCUGACAAACAGCUGUGACCUCUCUGACCCACUCUACUUGGGGUUUGUGGGGACAGGGCUGUGUUGUCCCCAGUUCCCAUCCCCUGCUGUACUCCUCACAGCCUCCUGUCUCCAUCCAGCCCACAUGUCCUCAGCCACAGAGUAACAAAAGACCUCAUAGCCCCCUUCUGCCUCACAGUGUCCCGCAGCAGGGCCCACAACCACUUGAGAUGGAGAUAACGCAGGUAUACCCCACCCAACAUAGCACCAGGGGCCGAGGUCGAGCCCUCAGCUUCCCACUGCUGCCAGGGAUAGAGUCUGUGGACAGCUGCCUGCUGCCACCUGCACCGAAGAAGAGAACACGGAUUGACUACAGCACAGAUCAGUUAGAGCAUUUAGAGGCCCUGUUCCAAGAGGAUCACUAUCCGGACGUGAAAAAAGAAAAGUGAUUGCUGCUUCAGUCGGCGUCACACCUCAGAGAAUUAUGGUCUGGUUUCAGAACCGAAGGGCGAAGUGGAGGAAAGUACGUGGUGUUACAGCAAAGGUGGAACACGGACAGAGUAGAGCUGAAUACAGUCCACAUCACCAAAUCAAUCCCACUUUGCCCACACUGGCUCACAACAGUAAGGGAGCCGCUUCUUUGUCUCGUUAUUAUGCUCUCAAGCUACCCCAGCUUGCCCCUGUGCCACCUUCAUUCCCCACCAUAACCACUCAGAGCCCACCCUCCCACAGCAGCCUGUUGGCCAGCCUCAGCACCCCAGCUGGGAUUACAGCGUACCAGUCUUACCCAUGGGGCAACAUGUGCAGUCAGCCAGCCAUGCACCAGCGUACUCAGUGCCCUCCUGCUUACCCUGGCAGCUUGGGACCUGGUCGAGAGCACCAGCCUACCUCUUCCACCAUCUUCCCUCUUCCUUCGUUCUUCCCUGGGGAGGACCAGGAGUCGUUGCAUGCAAAUUCCCAGGAUCCUUCACUCAACCAGACUUUCACAAGCAGCACCACCAGCACUGCCACCGUCCUGCCACCUGUGUCAACGCUCCUGCCCUCUUGCCUCAGGGUGGAGGAUACUCCAGCCAGGGAGUCAUUGCUAAUGCCCUCGCAGACAGAAGAAAUGGAUGUCACAGUUCCUACAGAUGACCAGGACAUCCAACUCCCUCGUCUGGACAGAAGUAAAAGUGUUUCUGCUUUUAUCAUUUCAAUUUUGGCUUAG